GCAGGGCGUGGCUUAGUGGUAGAGCACUCGCCUAGCACAUGUGAGGCACUGGGUUCAAUCCUCAGCACCAUACA
This 74-nucleotide transfer RNA is filed under the name Marmota monax (woodchuck). RNAcentral describes it as "tRNA.Ala". It matches the Rfam family "tRNA". From Rfam's summary of the family: Transfer RNA (tRNA) molecules are approximately 80 nucleotides in length. Their secondary structure includes four short double-helical elements and three loops (D, anti-codon, and T loops). Further hydrogen bonds mediate the characteristic L-shaped molecular structure. tRNAs have two regions of fundamental functional importance: the anti-codon, which is responsible for specific mRNA codon recognition, and the 3' end, to which the tRNAs corresponding amino acid is attached (by aminoacyl-tRNA synthetases). tRNAs cope with the degeneracy of the genetic code in two manners: having more than one tRNA (with a specific anti-codon) for a particular amino acid; and 'wobble' base-pairing, i.e. permitting non-standard base-pairing at the 3rd anti-codon position. Lineage: Eukaryota; Metazoa; Chordata; Mammalia; Rodentia; Sciuridae. The record is from RNAcentral.